UACGUAGGGUGCAAGCGUUAAUCGGAAUUACUGGGCGUAAAGCGUGCGCAGGCGGUUUUGUAAGUCUGUCGUGAAAUCCCCGGGCUCAACCUGGGAAUUGCGAUGGAGACUGCAAGGCUAGAAUCUGGCAGAGGGGGGUAGAAUUCCACGUGUAGCAGUGAAAUGCGUAGAGACGUGGAGGAACACCGAUGGCGAAGGCAGCCCCCUGGGUCAAGAUUGACGCUCAUGCACGAAAGCGUGGGGAGCAAACAGG
RNAcentral lists this ribosomal RNA (253 nucleotides) under uncultured bacterium. RNAcentral describes it as "partial 16S ribosomal RNA". It matches the Rfam family "Bacterial small subunit ribosomal RNA", at positions 524 to 776 of the family's 1533-position model. The record is from RNAcentral.